UAAUGACAUGGAUGGCUUCUUUGAUGAGUGAGCUCGUGUUCGUCGCCUCAGGUAACCCUCCCUUCUCCAUCAACGUCGAUGCAAUGAACACAGGAGACAUCCCGAAUCUCUUCUCGAAGUUCUUCUGAGACAUUAGAGAUGAUUUAUCGUGCUCGUCGUACCCUUCAAGCCCUUCUUCGAUGUCCUCAAGAUCGAAUAUGGCUUCGGUCGAUCGUUUUCUUGAAUAGCUCAUCGUCGUUGCACUGUCCUUCUUCU
RNAcentral lists this long non-coding RNA (255 nucleotides) under Brassica napus (rape). RNAcentral's name for it is "long non-coding RNA (BNAP_LNC007276)". The record is from RNAcentral. Lineage: Eukaryota; Viridiplantae; Streptophyta; Magnoliopsida; Brassicales; Brassicaceae.